This is a non-coding RNA of Salvia hispanica, 551 nucleotides long. NCBI's taxonomy places the organism in Eukaryota, Viridiplantae, Streptophyta, Magnoliopsida, Lamiales, Lamiaceae. The record is from RefSeq and is a predicted model, not a curated record.
AGGCUGCACAACACACAAGUAUCAUCAACAGUUAGUCAGGCGGGAGAAUUACAUAUAUGUUCCAUCAAGAGAGUUUGACAAAAUGAAAUACUGGGGGAAGAAGGAGCAUUUCAAACCAGCUGUGACUAUGAAGCCAUACAUUGUUGGACGAUAUACUCAAAUCACAAGAACACAGAAAUAUCUAGGAUAUCUUAUAGCUACCCAUAUCAUAUCAUAUUUUGUACAGAUAUCUAAUAAGAUUAGGAUUAUGUCGCACUUGUAACCCCAAAUAUCCAUCAGCACCCAAAUAUCUAGGCUUAAUGCGUCUGUCAAUUGUUCAUCAUCAAUAUAUAGUCCAUGUCCCAAAAAAGGAGAAAAUAUACGUUAGCAGAAUUGCAGAGAUAGAGUUGUUUGUCACAUCUAUAACACACAAUCACAUAUUCACAUAAAAAAUCUAAAACAAACUCAGAAAACCUACUUCAAAAUGGAACUACACAUACUUAACAAUUCAACAUAAACUUCACCAGAGAAUAAUCCUAUACAUUUUCUCACAAGUACUACUUGAUAGAAAA